Molecule: long non-coding RNA, 2222 nt
Organism: Numida meleagris (helmeted guineafowl)
Lineage: Eukaryota; Metazoa; Chordata; Aves; Galliformes; Numididae
Exons: 3
Source: RefSeq, a predicted model, not a curated record
GUGCCCUCCCUCUCCACCAGUAAAGCACCUGGGGCACUGAACAACAGAGUAAAAAUAAACACGGUGUAAUUAAUUAACACUGAUUGCAAUCCCUCCCCUCUGGCCUAUCUGAGAUGCAGCUGCUGGGGCCCACUGGGCUCACCAGGCCUCAGCCUGCAGCUCCAUGCCACCUCCCUGCCCUCCCACUGCCCAUGUGGGCCUGGCCCUGUGUCUCAGAGCCAGUCCUCUAUUUCUGUUAUGUCCUGCCUCCCAUCCCUAGCCUACACUUUGUGAAAAAGGCCACUUUUGUCUUUGUUGGAGGGGGAAGCAAGGAAAUGUUUAGAGAAUAGCAUUAUGGCCUGUGCAAAUGUUGUGAUGAUUUCCCAGGUCUUUCUGGCCACAGUGCUAAAAGUAGGCAUUGUCAAAAGUCUGACUUUUAAUAACAUAUCCACAUGGUACCUCCAGGCCUGAGCUGAGUCUCCCGUUUAACAACUGUGCCAUCCAAGUUAGCAAAAAUCAGCCAUCUCUCUCCACAGAGUUUGCUGGCAUUGGACUCUCUGCUUGGUCACAAGGAGCUGCCUUCCAGCGAACAUUUAACCUGAGUUUUUUAAAUCUCCUCCACUUCACACUAGAGCAUGCUCAUGGUCAAAGCUUUUGGCUAUACUUUCUGCCAGAAGAGAUGGAGACGGAUGUUUUCCCUUCCAGCUGGAUGUGCCACUGCCCUGUAGUUGGGAUCAGUAGACAGGAUGAGCACAGGCUUGUGAGAAGGGAAACAGGAGAGCAGACAGAAGAAAUAUGACAGCCCAACACAGAGGACUUCAGUAAUGUCUUCGGAGCUAAACGUGCUAAUGUGGACCUGCAUCUCAAAAAGAACAGGUUAUGGCUAGGGGACCAUCACUCACAGAAAGCCGGGGUACCAAGAUUUUAUGGUCACCCAUGUGAUCCUUUAAAAGACUGAACUUAACCCUUAAAACACUUAGCUCAAAUAAAAAUAAUUUAGGAUGUUACAAUGAAAAAACUUUAAGGCAUAUUAAAUAUCCAUGGGGGGGUCCCCUUUGAUUUUAUAAGCUAUGACUGUUGAAAAUUUUACAUUUUUAAAAACAAAGAGGGUGGUGUUGACUCCAGGGAUAUGUUGCCCUCUGAAGUAGAUGAAAAUGCUUACAGAACAGGUGAAGAAAUAUGUAGGAUGGAAGAAAGGACCUUCUUGAUAGCUCUCUAAAUUAGGCAUGAUAGAAAAGAUUUCAGAACGAUAUCUAAUUUCUUCAGGAAUGGUAAAUGAAGAAAAAAAAAAGAAAUGUGUCUGUCUCAGAUAUCCAAGUUUUGUGUUGUUUUGCUGAUUAGAAAUAGCCCAAUUUGUUUUACAACAUCAUUUAUUACUGUACCACAAGGUUCCAAUAAACACUUUAAUAAACAUCACAACCCAAAAACUCACCAUCCCCAGUUAUGUCUCUAUAAAAAUUUAUGGCAGCAUCAUUCUGCCAAGGCUCCUGACUGAAGAAUUUAACUUAAAUCGUUAUUUACAAUUUUUGGGUGUUUUUGGAACAAUUGCCAUGCAGCUGGCUAACAUCACAUCAGCCCCACACAUCCAUGGCAGCAGAUAUUCAGACAUUAAAAAGCCAUUUUGCACCUCCUGCCCCCCACAGCCUGGUGUGGAAAGGGAUGAGCAGUGGAGCGGUUAUAAGCUUGAGCCUGAUCUCCAGCUCAAGCUGUUGGCUCUACCUUGGCACUGCCCUGCUGAUUCCAGAUGCAGAUAGAAGGGUAGGUGAGUGACUUUUUCUAGACCAUGGAAGCUGAAUUCCAGUCCAUUUCCCUUGGCUAUUGUUUUCAGUGUAUGGUUACACCUGCCUGAUCUUUAUGAUUAAAACACUGAUGAGAAAACUCUUGACUUGACAUAACCUGACAAACUAAUCCUAUUCUUUCCUGCCAGUUCGUAGUUUCAGCUAGUAGUUUUGCAUAUUGAAUACAUCUUGAAACAGUGAGAUUAUUUUCUUAUAUAUUGUAACAAUACAUAAUGCUAUCAAACUCUUAAAAAUAAGCUCUAGUACAAAGGCCUUCAGCAGAGAUAGACUCUGGGGAUAAAAAAGCAGAACAGCUGGGAUGGAGGAGCAACUACAGAAAGAAUGAAAACUCAGAGAUAGCUUCUUAGAUGAAUAAAAUGACAGUGUAUGCAACACAGAUGUAAAUAAAAUUUAAAGACAGUUAUCAGAGGCUAAACCAGCUGGAGUGAGCAACAUAAAAAUAGA